Molecule: unclassified non-coding RNA, 335 nt
Filed under: soil metagenome
Description: partial contains 5.8S ribosomal RNA, internal transcribed spacer 2, and large subunit ribosomal RNA
Rfam family: 5.8S ribosomal RNA (bases 3-119)
Source: RNAcentral
GAGAAGAACGCAGCGAAAUGCGAUAAGUAGUGUGAAUUGCAGAAUUCAGUGAAUCAUCGAAUCUUUGAACGCACAUUGCGCCCCUUGGUAUUCCAUGGGGCAUGCCUGUUCGAGCGUCAUUUGUACCUUCAAGCUCUGCUUGGUGUUGGGUGUUUGUCUCGCCUCUGCGUGUAGACUCGCCUCAAAACAAUUGGCAGCCGGCGUAUUGAUUUCGGAGCGCAGUACAUCUCGCGCUUUGCACUCAUAACGACGACGUCCAAAAGUACAUUUUUACACUCUUGACCUCGGAUCAGGUAGGGAUACCCGCUGAACUUAAGCAUAUCAAUAAGCGGAGG